GCGGUGCUGCGGGACCGGAGACUCGGCCGGUUCUGGACCGACCGGCAACCGGCCGGCGUGUGGGAGCCGUUCAACACGCUGCACCGCA
RNAcentral lists this transfer RNA (88 nucleotides) under Actinoplanes palleronii. RNAcentral's name for it is "tRNA-Ser". Lineage: Bacteria; Bacillati; Actinomycetota; Actinomycetes; Micromonosporales; Micromonosporaceae. The record is from RNAcentral.